This 296-nucleotide small nuclear RNA is filed under the name Erinaceus europaeus (western European hedgehog). RNAcentral's name for it is "7SK RNA". It matches the Rfam family "7SK RNA". Rfam says of the family: 7SK was discovered as an abundant small nuclear RNA in the mid-70s but a possible function has only recently been suggested. Lineage: Eukaryota; Metazoa; Chordata; Mammalia; Eulipotyphla; Erinaceidae. The record is from Rfam by way of RNAcentral.
AGAUGUGAGGGCGAUCUAGCUGUGACAUCUGUCACCCCAUUGAUUGCCAAAGUUGAUUCAGCUGAUCUGCCUGGCUAGGCGGGUGUCCCCUUCCUCCCUCACUGCUCCAUGUGCAUCGCUUGAUAGAAGACCUUCCCUGAAUAGGACCAGUCUUCAGUGGAGGGUGGAGGGUAUAGGAGUAGCUGCGUUCCCCUGUUAGGACAUCCAAACAAGCUCUCAGGAAAGAGAGGUUCUCCCUGCAGCACUGGAUAUGAAAUCCAGACUUUCAGCAGUGUUUAUUCAGGUAGAGAGACCAU